This 245-nucleotide ribosomal RNA is filed under the name uncultured Lachnospiraceae bacterium. RNAcentral's name for it is "partial 16S ribosomal RNA". It matches the Rfam family "Bacterial small subunit ribosomal RNA", at positions 524 to 768 of the family's 1533-position model. Lineage: Bacteria; Bacillati; Bacillota; Clostridia; Lachnospirales; Lachnospiraceae. The record is from RNAcentral.
UACGUAGGGGACAAGCGUUAUCCGGAUUUACUGGGUGUAAAGGGAGCGUAGGCGGCUUGGCAAGUCAGAAGUGAAAUCCCGCGGCUCAACUGCGGGCGUGCUUUUGAAACUGUCGGGCUAGAGUACUGGAGGGGCAAGCGGAAUUCCUGGUGUAGCGGUGAAAUGCGUAGAUAUCAGGAAGAACACCGGAGGCGAAGGCGGCUUGCUGGACAGAUACUGACGCUGAGGCUCGAAGGCGUGGGGAG